AUCAUUUAGCAGAGUAAUGAGCAGAUGCUUCCAGGAGGCCAAUAUGGGAAACCCACUCUUGACAUUGUUCUUUAAAAGCCCCACAGAACCACCGAGAAGAGGGACACCUGUCCCCAUUUUUCACAUAAAUAAACUGAGGUUCUGAGCAAAGCAUAGGUCCAGACUUUGGAGGAAGACUGGAAUCCAGGUGAAUCUCUACGGGCAGACAAGGCUCAGGGAGCUGGGCAUCUUGGGGAGAUGAGGCUGGACCUGGGGCUGCGGGAGCCCUUGGGGGAAGGCACCACGUCGGCAGCUCUACAGGAUCCUGGCCCCUGUAGGGGAGUAGAUCGAACGAGGGGGUGAAGCAGCAGGGAGGAGGCGGCGGGGGCCCCCAGGGUGGGGAGGAGCAGGCGGAGUCCGCGUCGCUUAGGAAGAGGCCCCAAGGAAGGAGCAGACCGGGGGCGAGGGCCUACAUAUGGGGUGUGAACACAGAGUAAACACUCAGCCAACAGUCCAGGAGCUGAUGAAGGAUAAACACAAUGUAUCCAGUCAUAUGGUGUAUUAUUCAGCCAAAGAGAAGAAUGAAGCACCGAUACACACUGCAACACGUAUGAACCUUAAAAAUCUUAUGCUGAGUGAAAGAAGCCAGAUGCGAAAGGCCCCAUAGGAUGUGAUUCCGUUUAUGUGAAAUGUCCAAAACAGGAAAACUGCUGAGUAAUGAAGAUCUCCCUGAUCCAUGUUGCUGCGUCCUGGCCUCCCUCUCCAGGAAUCGAGACUUCUAAGGGUUGUGGAAAAGGCUUCGCCCUUCCAGAGAGUUCUGGGGAACCUUGUGGAGUCUCUCCAUGGCAACAAGGAGGAAGCAAGGCCACCUCACCACACUUGACAGGGAUGUGGGCACUUGGGGACCUCCCACAGACCUGCUGGCCGGGGAGGCAUAACCUGCUGGAGGGGUGUAGCGUGGAGGGACGGGCCUGGGGGUGCUUAUAGGGAUGGUUUUCCAAGGAACAGAGACGGGAACGAGGGAGGGGAGAUGCAUGCCUGUAUUCCCCAAGUAUUUUUAGGCACUGAACGCGGCCCUGAAAUAUUCCACGGCCACUCCCAAGAGUGAGCUGGGUGACUAUUUUGGUGCCUGGUUCCAGCGGGGGCGGAAUGGGGGUGAGUCAUCCCUGGGUGGCUGGGCCCAGACCAGGAGGGGGGGUCUCAGGGCAGGACCCAGGGCCUGUAAGGUGACAGCUUAGGAACCUGGGGCCAGGCAUCUGGUGUCGGCCUCCGGGGCACAGAGGACAGUGGCCUGGCCCCUCCCUGUGGCAUGGCACCGCUGCUCAGGUCCCCCCGGCCAGUCAGUCACGCUGCCCCCACAGCUAAUGGAGAGAAAGAGGGUCCUAGGUGAGGUUUCAGACACUCCCCAGGUGCCCAGUGAGGCGCUUCUCCUGUGUUUUCAAGCA
Molecule: long non-coding RNA, 1424 nt
Organism: Bos taurus (domestic cattle)
Lineage: Eukaryota; Metazoa; Chordata; Mammalia; Artiodactyla; Bovidae
Source: Ensembl